This 253-nucleotide ribosomal RNA is filed under the name uncultured bacterium. RNAcentral describes it as "partial 16S ribosomal RNA". It matches the Rfam family "Bacterial small subunit ribosomal RNA", at positions 524 to 776 of the family's 1533-position model. The record is from RNAcentral.
UACAGAGGUCCCAAGCGUUGUUCGGAUUCACUGGGCGUAAAGGGUGCGUAGGUGGUCGGGUAAGUCUGAUGUGAAAUCUCCGGGCCUAACCCGGAAACUGCAUCGGAUACUAUUCGGCUGGAGGGUUGGAGGGGGGACUGGAAUACUUGGUGUAGCAGUGAAAUGCGUAGAUAUCAAGUGGAACACCAGUGGCGAAGGCGAGUCCCUGGACAACUCCUGACACUGAGGCACGAAAGCUAGGGGAGCAAACAGG